CACGUAGUUAGCCGUGACUUUCUCAUAAGGUACCGUCAAUUGAUAGUCAUUUCCUCCUAUCACCUUUCUUCCCUUAUAACAGAAUUUUACAACCCGAAGGCCUUCUUCAUUCACGCGGCGUUGCUCGGUCAGGCUUUCGCCCAUUGCCGAAGAUUCCCUACUGCUGCCUCCCGUAGGAGUCUGGGCCGUGUCUCAGUCCCAGUGUGGCCGUUCACCCUCUCAGGUCGGCUACGCAUCGUCGCCUUGGUAGGCCUUUACCCCACCAACUAGCUAAUGCGCCGCAGGCUCAUCCAUCAGUGAUGCCAGGAGCAUCUUUAAACUUUCGUCCUAUCCGGUAUUAGCGAUCGUUUCCAAUCGUUGUCCCCGUCUGAUGGGCAGAUCACCUACGUGUUACUCACCCGUUCGCCGCUUCCCACCGAAGUGGUUCGCUCGACUUGCAUGUAUUAGGCACGCCGCCAGCGUUCAUCCUGAGCCAGGAUCAAACUCU
Molecule: ribosomal RNA, 487 nt
Filed under: uncultured Turicibacter sp.
Lineage: Bacteria; Bacillati; Bacillota; Erysipelotrichia; Erysipelotrichales; Turicibacteraceae
Description: partial 16S ribosomal RNA
Source: RNAcentral